RNAcentral lists this ribosomal RNA (253 nucleotides) under uncultured bacterium. RNAcentral describes it as "partial 16S ribosomal RNA". It matches the Rfam family "Bacterial small subunit ribosomal RNA", at positions 524 to 776 of the family's 1533-position model. The record is from RNAcentral.
UACGAAGGGGGCUAGCGUUGCUCGGAAUUACUGGGCGUAAAGCGCACGUAGGCGGCUUUCUAAGUCGGGGGUGAAAUCCUGGAGCUCAACUCCAGAACUGCCUUCGAUACUGGAGAGCUCGAGUCCGGGAGAGGUGAGUGGAACUGCGAGUGUAGAGGUGAAAUUCGUAGAUAUUCGCAAGAACACCAGUGGCGAAGGCGGCUCACUGGCCCGGUACUGACGCUGAGGUUCGAAAGCGUGGGGAGCAAACAGG